Molecule: ribosomal RNA, 255 nt
Filed under: uncultured bacterium
Lineage: Bacteria
Description: partial 16S ribosomal RNA
Rfam family: Bacterial small subunit ribosomal RNA
Source: RNAcentral
GUACGGGGGGGGGCAAGCGUUGUUCGGAAUUACUGGGCGUAAAGGGCUCGUAGGCGGCCAACUAAGUCAGACGUGAAAUCCCUCGGCUUAACCGGGGAACUGCGUCUGAUACUGGAUGGCUUGAGGUUGGGAGAGGGAUGCGGAAUUCCAGGUGUAGCGGUGAAAUGCGUAGAUAUCUGGAGGAACGCCGGUGGCGAAGGCGGCAUCCUGGACCAAUUCUGACGCUGAGGAGCGAAAGCCAGGGGAGCAAACGGG